CUGGUGAGAAGUGAUUGGAUCAUGGGGGCGGUUUCCUCCAUUCUGUUCUGAUAGCUGCAAGCUCCAUGAGGGCAGGACUGCACCUCUGUUUUGUUCAUGGCUGUGUCUCCAGCACCUGGUUGGAGGCAAGGUGCCAAGGCAGUGCUCUGUAAAGAAAUUUUCAACCCUGAUGACUGAAGCCGACUGGAAGUCUGCAAAUUCGAGUUUGAACACCCAAGAUUCGACGUAAAACAAGCAAGCUUGAUUGGUGGUCAGAAAAUACUGUCAAAGAAAGGAUUUCUUCCUGUCACCCCCCUUGUAUGAUUUAUGUGAAUUUUGUUGCCUGUCACAUUGGGGUUAAAACAGCCUCUAGCUAUUCAGAUCCAGGACGUGGGUCCCAAGUCACCCACUGCAUAUGGUCAAGCAUUUGGGAAUCAGGGAUUCCUUUAAGAAUUUGGGAAAAAAAAAAAAAAGUAUGGUCCCUCUUUAAAAAUAAAAUGCACAAAAACUUAUAUAGAAUUCAAGGAAGACCAGAAAGCCUUGGAGUUUGGGGAGGGUUAUUCCCAAAACUCUAGGUCCCAGAACU
This is a long non-coding RNA of Rhinopithecus roxellana (golden snub-nosed monkey), 565 nucleotides long. RefSeq lists it as uncharacterized. The transcript is spliced from 3 exons. The record is from RefSeq and is a predicted model, not a curated record. NCBI's taxonomy places the organism in Eukaryota, Metazoa, Chordata, Mammalia, Primates, Cercopithecidae.